Molecule: ribosomal RNA, 405 nt
Filed under: uncultured prokaryote
Description: bacterial SSU rRNA
Rfam family: Bacterial small subunit ribosomal RNA
Source: RNAcentral
UGGGGAAUAUUGGGCAAUGGAGGCAACUCUGACCCAGCAACGCCGCGUGAGGGAAGAAGGUUUUCGGAUUGUAAACCUCUGUCCUAGGGGACGAAGAAAGUGACGGUACCCUAGGAGGAAGCCCCGGCUAACUACGUGCCAGCAGCCGCGGUAAUACGUAGGGGGCAAGCGUUGUACGGAAUUAGUGGGCGUAAAGGGUGCGUAGGCGGUAUGGUAAGUUAGAUGUGAAAUCCACGGGCUUAACUCGGGAGUUGCAUGUAUAACUGUCAGACUAGAGUGCAGGCGAGGAAAGCGGAAUUCCUAGUGUAGCGGUGAAAUGCGUAGAUAUUAGGAGGAACACCAGUGGCGAAGGCGGCUUUCUGGACUGUAACUGACGCUGAGGCACGAAAGCGUGGGGAGCGAACA